CUUGACCGUGCCCAGCCACAGCGGGCGGUCGGCCGGGCGGUCGUUGCCGUAGGACUUCAGCAGGGCCUGCGCCUC
Molecule: antisense RNA, 75 nt
Filed under: Streptomyces lavendulae subsp. lavendulae
Lineage: Bacteria; Bacillati; Actinomycetota; Actinomycetes; Kitasatosporales; Streptomycetaceae
Description: ASpks TB sRNA
Rfam family: ASpks TB sRNA
Source: Rfam by way of RNAcentral